Molecule: ribosomal RNA, 629 nt
Filed under: Kodamaea ohmeri
Lineage: Eukaryota; Fungi; Ascomycota; Pichiomycetes; Serinales; Debaryomycetaceae
Description: eukaryotic LSU rRNA
Rfam family: 5.8S ribosomal RNA (bases 132-283)
Source: RNAcentral
GGAAGUAAAAGUCGUAACAAGGUUUCCGUAGGUGAACCUGCGGAAGGAUCAUUAACAUUAAUUUACUACACACUGUUUUUUUACAACAAAACAAAUCUAUCUAAAAACAAUUCUUUACAAGAAAUUCUUAAAACUUUCAACAACGGAUCUCUUGGUUCUCGCAUCGAUGAAGAACGCAGCGAAAUGCGAUACGUAAUACGAAUCGCAGCUCUCGGAAUCAUCGAAUCUUUGAACGCACAUUGCACCAUUGGGUAUUCCCAAUGGUAUGCUUGUUUGAGCGAAUACUUCCCUAAUCCUCACGGAUUGUAUUGUGUUUGCACGAAAAUAAUGACGACAGUACUCUACAAAACGGUACCGUCAGUACACUCAUUUUUUUUCCUCAAAUCAAGUAGGACUACCCGCUGAACUUAAGCAUAUCAAUAAGCGGAGGAAAAACAAAUGAGUGUACUGACGGUACCGUUUUGUAGAGUACUGUCGUCAUUAUUUUCGUGCAAACAAAAUAUACUUGAUGAGGAUUAGGGAAGUAUUCACCCAACAAAGCAUACCAUUGGGAAUACCCAAUGGUGCAAUGUGCGUUCAAAGAUUCGAUGAUUCCAAUAGCUGCGAUUCGUAUUACGUAUCGCAUUUCG